UGCAUUGACUACUACAACUUAGG
Molecule: small nuclear RNA, 23 nt
Filed under: Arabidopsis thaliana (thale cress)
Lineage: Eukaryota; Viridiplantae; Streptophyta; Magnoliopsida; Brassicales; Brassicaceae
Description: snRNA_14277
Source: RNAcentral